UUGUAACGCGCCACUUAGCACUGUUCGACCUCCGCCCAUGCUCCAGUUACUAUUAUGACAGCAAAUAGUGACUAGCAUAGGCAGAGGUGGAGCAGUUACAAUGAUCAUUC
Molecule: microRNA precursor, 110 nt
Filed under: Haemonchus contortus (barber pole worm)
Lineage: Eukaryota; Metazoa; Nematoda; Chromadorea; Rhabditida; Trichostrongylidae
Description: microRNA hco-mir-5914 precursor
Source: miRBase by way of RNAcentral